GAUGAACGCUGACAGAAUGCUUAACACAUGCAAGUCUUUGGUGAAGCUGUGCUUGCACAGCCUAGCCAAGGCGGACGGGUGAGUAACGCGUAAGGAACUUGCCCUGCAGUCAGGGAUAACAGACGGAAACGACUGAUAAGACCUGGUAAAGUCAGGCGGACUCAUGUCCAGCCUGAUGAAAAGAGAUGCUGCAGGAGAGCCUUGCGUCCUAUUAGCUUGUUGGGGGGGUAACGGCCCACCAAGGCAAUGAUAGGUAGCCGGCCUGAGAGGGUGGACGGCCACAAGGGGACUGAGAUACGGCCCUUACUCCUACGGGAGGCAGCAGUGGGGAAUAUUGGACAAUGGGGGCAACCCUGAUCCAGCAAUUCUGUGUGCACGAUGAAGGUUUUCGGAUUGUAAAGUGCUUUCAGCAGGGAAGAAAAAAAUGACGGUACCUGCAGAAGAAGCGACGGCUAAAUACGUG
Molecule: ribosomal RNA, 463 nt
Filed under: uncultured bacterium
Lineage: Bacteria
Description: partial 16S ribosomal RNA
Rfam family: Bacterial small subunit ribosomal RNA
Source: RNAcentral